RNAcentral lists this ribosomal RNA (414 nucleotides) under uncultured microorganism. Its description in RNAcentral is "bacterial SSU rRNA". It matches the Rfam family "Archaeal small subunit ribosomal RNA", at positions 459 to 872 of the family's 1478-position model. The record is from RNAcentral.
CAGCCGCCGCGGUAAUACCGGCGGCCCGAGUGGCGGUCACUAUUAUUGGGCUUAAAGCGUCCGUAGCCGGGUUGGGAAGUCCUCCGGGAAAUCUGGCCGCUUAACGGUCAGAAUGCCGGAGGAUACUCCCAGCCUAGGGAGCGGGAGAGGCCGAGGGUAUUCCCGGAGUAGGGGGGAAAUCCUAUAAUCCCGGGAGGACCGCCUGUGGCGAAGGCGCUCGGCUGGAACGCGUCCGACGGUGAGGGACGAAGGCCAGGGGAGCAAACCGGAUUAGAUACCCGGGUAGUCCUGGCGGUAAACGAUGCGGACUUUGUGUCGGACAAGCUAUGAGCUUGUCCGGUGCCGGAGGGAAACCGUUAAGUCCGCCGCCUGGGGAGUACGGCCGCAAGGCUGAAACUUAAAGGAAUUGGCGGG